UUAUUGGAGAGUUUGAUCCUGGCUCAGGACGAACGCUGGCGGCGUGCCUAAUACAUGCAAGUCGAGCGGACUUGAGGGA
RNAcentral lists this non-coding RNA (79 nucleotides) under Mesobacillus campisalis. RNAcentral describes it as "Bacillus campisalis Bacterial small subunit ribosomal RNA". It matches the Rfam family "Bacterial small subunit ribosomal RNA", at positions 1 to 79 of the family's 1533-position model. The record is from Rfam by way of RNAcentral. Lineage: Bacteria; Bacillati; Bacillota; Bacilli; Caryophanales; Bacillaceae.